CGGGUGAGUAACGCGUGGGGAAUCUGCCUUUGAGCGGGGGACAACAUUUGGAAACGAAUGCUAAUACCGCAUAAAAACUUUAAAAACAAGUUUUAAGUUUGAAAGAUGCAAUUGCAUCACUCAAAGAUGAUCCCGCGUUGUAUUAGCUAGUUGGUGAGGUAAAGGCUCACCAAGGCGAUGAUACAUAGCCGACCUGAGAGGGUGAUCGGCCACAUUGGGACUGAGACACGGCCCAA
This 236-nucleotide ribosomal RNA is filed under the name uncultured bacterium. RNAcentral's name for it is "partial 16S ribosomal RNA". It matches the Rfam family "Bacterial small subunit ribosomal RNA", at positions 103 to 334 of the family's 1533-position model. The record is from RNAcentral.